RNAcentral lists this non-coding RNA (35 nucleotides) under Chryseobacterium gleum ATCC 35910. RNAcentral's name for it is "DUF805b RNA". It matches the Rfam family "DUF805b RNA". From Rfam's summary of the family: Bacteroidetes, Chlorobi (1 example), Proteobacteria. The record is from RNAcentral. Lineage: Bacteria; Pseudomonadati; Bacteroidota; Flavobacteriia; Flavobacteriales; Weeksellaceae.
UAGGGAAUUGCCGAAAACCCUGAAUAGAUUAGGCA